CCUACGGGCGGCAGCAGUGAGGAAUAUUGGUCAAUGGCCGGAAGGCUGAACCAGCCAUGCCGCGUGAAGGUCAGUGCCCUAUGGGCGUUAAACUUCUUUUGUGCGGGAGCAAUAAUGGUCACGUGUGGCCAGACGAGAGUACCGUACGAAUAAGCAUCGGCUAACUCCGUGCCAGCAGCCGCGGUAAUACGGGGGAUGCAAGCGUUAUCCGGAUUUAUUGGGUUUAAAGGGUGCGUAGGCUGUGAGGUAAGUCAGCGGGGAAAUGCCCCCGCUCAACGGGGUGAAGUGCCAUUGAUACUGCCUUGCUGGAAGGCGGAUGCCGUGGGAGGAAUGUGUGGUGUAGCGGUGAAAUGCAUAGAUAUCACACAGAACACCGAUUGCGAAGGCAUCUCACGAAUCCGCGAUUGACGCUGAUGCACGAAAGCGUGGGUAUCAAACAGGAUUAGAUACCCCAGUAGUC
Molecule: ribosomal RNA, 460 nt
Filed under: uncultured bacterium
Lineage: Bacteria
Description: partial 16S ribosomal RNA
Rfam family: Bacterial small subunit ribosomal RNA
Source: RNAcentral